UUAACUUAAUUUGUUUAAAAAGCUCGGAUUCCGUACUCAUAGGAUUAGCGGGAGAGACAAUAACGCCGAGGGAGAGGAGUGCAACGUAGAGAACCGGAAUGUUAGUUGAGUUUGGAGACAGAAUAAAUGCGACAUCAGUCCCAAUUUAAGCCAUUAUUUUCUUUUUCGUACAUGGAUAAACUAAACGGUUGAGGGUUAAAACUUGUACUAUUCAAAAUAGGUCAUAUUUAUACCCCAUUUGAAGUUUGGAGACAGAAUAAAUGCGACAUCGUUUUUGGAGAAGCGGAAUGUGUGUUGAAGUGAGGAAGCUAGGGAAAUGACACGUGUUGGGAACUCGGAGAAGGAGAUGCAACGGCCGGUGACGGAGUCGAUGAAGGCGGCGGCGGUGGAAUCGGGGCAUUGUUGGAGAGAGAGUGCGUAAGAAGCAGCGGAAAGAGGAGAAGCUUCUGGAGGAAGCAAGAGAGGUGGGCGGAGACUGUGGAAAGUUUUGGUUUUUGAACAGAAUCCGCUGUUUGCGUCCAUGCGAGGAAGUAGUUGCGGCAGCUCAGCUGGGGAUUUACUUCGGAGAUUCCAACUAAAUUAAUGGUGGUUAUACAUUUGGGUGUCCACUAUUUCAAUUGGCUGCUGUGCUAGCCAUAAGUUUAUUUCCGCUUUCUUCUAUAUAUGGAUUUGGA
This 674-nucleotide long non-coding RNA is filed under the name Nicotiana benthamiana. Its description in RNAcentral is "long non-coding RNA (NBEN_LNC013183)". Lineage: Eukaryota; Viridiplantae; Streptophyta; Magnoliopsida; Solanales; Solanaceae. The record is from RNAcentral.